Molecule: ribosomal RNA, 769 nt
Filed under: uncultured bacterium
Lineage: Bacteria
Description: bacterial SSU rRNA
Rfam family: Bacterial small subunit ribosomal RNA
Source: RNAcentral
GGAGCUUGCUUUAUAUAACUUAGCAGCGAACGGGUGAGUAACACGUAGAUAAUCUAUCCUAUACUGGGGGAUAGCCCGAUGAAAGUUGGAUUAAUACCGCAUAUAGCUAUAUAGUUGCAUGAUUAUGUAGUGAAUGAUUUAUUGGUAUAGGAGGAGUCUGCGGCACAUUAGCUAGUAGGUGAGGUAAAGGCUUACCUAGGCGACGAUGUGUAGCCGGUCUGAGAGGAUGAACGGCCACAAUGGAACUGAGACACGGUCCAUACUCCUACGGGAGGCAGCAGUGGGGAAUAUUGCACAAUGGGGGAAACCCUGAUGCAGCAACGCCGCGUGAGUGAAGAAGGUUUUCGGAUUGUAAAGCUCUGUUAGCAGGGAAGAGGAAGGACGGUACCUGCAGAGGAAGCCACGGCUAACUACGUGCCAGCAGCCGCGGUAAUACGUAGGUGGCAAGCGUUGUUCGGAAUAACUGGGCGUAAAGGAUGCGUAGGCGGUUAAACAAGUUAUAUGUUAAAUAUAUAGGCUUAACCUGUAGAAAGCAUAUAAAACUGUUUAACUAGAGUGCAGGAGAGGUAAGUGGAAUUCCUAGUGUAGCGGUGAAAUGCGUAGAGAUUAGGAAGAACACCAGUGGCGAAGGCGACUUACUGGACUGUAACUGACGCUGAGGCAUGAGAGCAUGGGGAGCAAACAGGAUUAGAUACCCUGGUAGUCCAUGCUGUAAACGAUGGGUACUAGGUGUGGGUUGUGAAUAACAAUUCGUGCCGUCGCAAACGCA